RNAcentral lists this ribosomal RNA (253 nucleotides) under uncultured bacterium. RNAcentral's name for it is "partial 16S ribosomal RNA". It matches the Rfam family "Bacterial small subunit ribosomal RNA", at positions 524 to 776 of the family's 1533-position model. The record is from RNAcentral.
UACGAGGGGGGCGAGCGUUGUUCGGAAUUAUUGGGCGUAAAGGGUGCGUAGGCGGUUUGGCAAGUCUGAUGUGAAAUCUAUGGGCUCAACUCAUAGUCUGCAUCGGAAACUGCCGGGCUUGAGUGUGGGAGAGGUGAGUGGAAUUCCUGGUGUAGCGGUGAAAUGCGUAGAUAUCAGGAGGAACACCUGUGGCGAAAGCGGCUCACUGGACCAUAACUGACGCUGAGGCGCGAAAGCUAGGGGAGCAAACAGG